RNAcentral lists this unclassified non-coding RNA (145 nucleotides) under soil metagenome. RNAcentral describes it as "partial internal transcribed spacer 1". The record is from RNAcentral.
UAACAAGUGUUUUAUGGCACUUUUUAAAUCCACAUCCACCUUGUGUGCAAUGUCGGUCGAUCUUCUUCAUGGAGAUCGACCAAACAUCAACCUUUAUCUUUUAACUCUUUGUCUGAAAAAUAUUAUGAAUAAACAAUUCAAAAUA